This 253-nucleotide ribosomal RNA is filed under the name uncultured bacterium. RNAcentral's name for it is "partial 16S ribosomal RNA". It matches the Rfam family "Bacterial small subunit ribosomal RNA", at positions 524 to 776 of the family's 1533-position model. The record is from RNAcentral.
UACGAAGGGGGCUAGCGUUGUUCGGAAUCACUGGGCGUAAAGCGCACGUAGGCGGACUUUCAAGUCAGGGGUGAAAUCCCGGAGCUCAACUUCGGAAUUGCCUUUGAUACUGUUGGUCUCGAGUCCGGAAGAGGUGGGUGGAAUUCCUAGUGUAGAGGUGAAAUUCGUAGAUAUUCGGAGGAACACCGGUGGCGAAGGCGGCCACCUGGUCCGGUACUGACGCUGAAGCGCGAAAGCGUGGGGAGCAAACAGG